UCAAUAAAGACCCUUCUGCAUUUAGAGAUGAAGGAAGAGGAGGAAAACAGUCUUGUUUUCAAUAAGACAGGGUCUCUUCCUCCGUUGCUCAACUGCCCAUUUGCACAAGGCUUUCUGGCCCCGUAGUAGCCUGUUUCCCUGGAGAGUACAGUCGACAUGGGGAGGCGAGGCAGUGUUGGAAGGUAGCCUGAGGAUAACAGGCGUUAUAAAGAGGAAUUUUUUUCCCUGCUGUUUUUGUUUGUUUUACCACAGAGGCUCAGAGGAGCUGGCCAAGAGCCUCACACAGCAGGUGCUGCCUGGGAAUGCAAGGGGAGCAAAAUUCCUACUAAAUGGAAGCAUUAUUUGACACCACUGCCUUUCGCAAUCUUUUUCCUUUGUUUCAGACAAACUCCAAGGCCUCCUGGGCUUUGCGGUCAAAGCUGAGUUGGACUCUUCUGCAGGGGAGGAAAGGGAAGUAGUAAGGGUGUCCCCAAACAUGCCAAAUACUUGGGUGACAGAGACUGAGCCUUCUGGAAACAAUACUGCUGGAUUCCCACAGAAGCAGCAAGAGGGCCAAGAAGAAGAGCAAAAUCACCUUUGGCUCCCUCACAGUAGUAGUUUUUUUGUCGUUGUUUUGUUUUUUGUGGGUUUUGGGUUUUUUUUUAUGAAGAAGAGACUGAGCCUGCCCACCCACACCAAAAUGCUUUUGACAUUUGGAGAUCCACAGGAGCAGGUCGCAGCUCUGCUCAGCUUGGCUAUCAUCUAUCAUGGCUGUUGCGAGACUGGAAGAGUGUAAGUGUGGCCAGAGGAAAGCAGAGUAACUCCUUCCUUUACCAGAGAAUUCCCCUGUGGCUCAGUCCUUCAGCUCCACUAAUUUUCUUUUGUACCACAACUCCUUGCCAGUAAAACUGGUACAAGCCAUGUGGGGAUCAUGUAUCAGUCGCAUGGGAUGCAUAACUAUUUCGUAAAUGAUGGAUCAGUACAAAAGCCCAGAAAGAAGGAAGUCAGAAUUUUCCAGAAAUGACAGGUUUUGCCACAGAAUUUACAUUCUUCUACUUCUUUACAAGCAGGCAGUCUGCCUCUGACCAAGGGCUCUCUUCCUACCAGCAUGUUUUCUCAGGCAAAGAUUCAAUUUUUAGAGCCUUUUGGAUACCAUCAGUUGCUGAAAUGACCCUGCAGAAGGGUCCAGCGAUAGCUCAUCUCCAGAAUUGCCUAUGAACAGGGAGUAACUGGCCACACCUGCAGUGUUCAGGUAUGUCUGUCUCAUGGUUGUCCUCGAGCAAAGGGACAGUGUUCUUGUCUGCUCCACGCUUUGCAUGCUGGGGUUGCGCUCACAGAUGGAGCCCCGGGGUGCUCCUCCAAGGCUGGCACUAUCAAUAUUAAUGAUUUUCUUCCUCUUCCACACUCUGUGGCUCCUGGGAGACCAAGAACCCCAGCCUGGAUGCUUUUAAACAGCACUGUAUGAGACAAAGCCACAUUCCUUAGCUGUAAGUCUUUACAAUCACCCACCAGCUCUCCAAAAGAAGUUCAGAGCAUGACUUCCAGCGAGACAGAUGACGCAGCUCUUCAGGCCCAGAGAUGUUUUUCUGGACGAUGCAGCAAAGCUACUGGGCUCGGUAGUGGGCUAAUUGGAUGCAACUGAACGGCUUUGAAAUAUAGGAAGUCAUACCAGAUGUUCUCAUGGUUCCUUCUGGCCUUAAAUCCUGCGAAUCUAUGAAUGAGUUUCUGAAUCUGUGAAAUCCAAAGUCCUGAGAAUACAAACAUAUGAGUAGAGUUAUAUUUCUGGCCCCCAGAUCAGAGGAAAGAUAUUGAAUGUGCAUUGUUGCGAUAAAUCAAAGAAGCAGCUAAAUCAGAGCUGUAAUAAAAGUCGACUGCAGAUCUUUGUGCAGAAAUUGGUCAUAUGUCAUGUGAGGACAAGGUUCAGAGAUGCGAUUUCUCAACAUCUGAAAUGACUUCUUUUGGGAGCAGCCCCUUCCAAGCACUGUGGUGGAGGAGAUCCUCCUCUGAACUUGGUCUUCGAUGCCACACAGGAGCUCGUUUGACAAGUGACAAUCAAUGAGGCACUGAACACUGCUGACCACAGUGUAAUUGAGAUGAGCAUCCCUGCCAUGAAAACCAGCAGUGAAGCAUUGAAGUAAAGAGAAAGGGGAUUUGUUUUGUUGGACUUCCUUAAGGGGAAGCAUGUCAAAACUGAGGAAACUGAAAUCUGCAGUCAGCAAGUAAGCUUACUCAGUCAUGGUCUAAGCACAGCCACACGAUGUAUCCAGCCACCCCACUCCUCUGAUAAAGGACGAAGAGCAGCAACAACAACAAUAAAAACAAAAACAAAACAACAACAAAAAAACCACCAAAACCCCUCGAAUUAUGAUGUUUCUGAAUCAUUUAAUAACACUUUGAAGUAACCUGAUUUGUUCUGGGAGGAAGUCCUCUGUAUGCCCAACCGGAUUCAAAUGACAUGAGUUUGAGUAUCACCACUGAAAUUUCUUCUUGCCAGGCUCUGAGCUUCUCAAGUUUUCUGCCCUCACCAUUUCUGUUGGCUAUGUCUCUGGCUGGAGAAGGCAUCAGAGUGGGCAGGAGACACCUGGGACCCAACAUGCCUCAUCAGCACAACAUUGGGUGAUUCCUAAGAUGCAUGGUUGGCCACUGUGACUCAAAUCUUCCUUCUCCAUGCAUGAGGGUGCUGGACCCUUGCACCAUGGGCAUGUUUAGAUGGCUGUUUUAAAGAAAAUCUUCGAAAAAUGAACACUUUGAAUGAAAUAGUCAGAAAAAGAUCAUGCACUGUCAAAAUUCUCCAGUGAAGCACCUUUAUUAUAUAAUACCAAGCUACAUGUGUCGUGCAAAGUACUGUAUGUCAUUUGCAGAGGGCCCGUUGAUACUCUAACGUCACCACCAAUGUCACGCAACACUGGGUGAAGCAGUGAACAUGGCAAUAUCACCAAGAAAUACAUAAUGCCAAUGACAGUGGAACUAAUGUAGAGACGAUUAUCCUUACAUUAUUCAGCACCUCCAAUUGCUCUCUGUUUUAAGUGGCUAUAUGAUGUAAUAAUAUAUAAAUACUGUAAUGAAGAGUUUAUUUAUAACCAUCCUCAGUGUUACCAGUGAAAGUAUUAAUGCAUUUUUCCCACGCUAUGUUCAUUGACCGCAGCCAAGCAACCCAUUUUCAAGGGACUAUGUCAAAAGAGUGUUUAAGCCAUUCCUCAAUCACAGAAACAGGUGAAUGGCUAAUGUAGCAAGCAAAGUCAUCA
This is a long non-coding RNA of Pseudopipra pipra, 3224 nucleotides long. RefSeq lists it as uncharacterized. The record is from RefSeq and is a predicted model, not a curated record. The transcript has 2 exons. NCBI's taxonomy places the organism in Eukaryota, Metazoa, Chordata, Aves, Passeriformes, Pipridae.